Arabidopsis lyrata subsp. lyrata is the source of this 1412-nucleotide long non-coding RNA. RefSeq lists it as uncharacterized. Lineage: Eukaryota; Viridiplantae; Streptophyta; Magnoliopsida; Brassicales; Brassicaceae. The record is from RefSeq and is a predicted model, not a curated record. The transcript has 2 exons.
CUUCCAUUUAUCUGCGUACCUUUCGAUAAGCAUAUAUAGCUAGGAGUACUUGAAGGCAAUUCUAAUGUUCAAAAAAAUGUACUCAUCCUUGGUCCAAAAACACAGAUCCAUUUUCACCUCCAAGCGUCAGUCUUGUUCUUCUCCUCUAAUCUUCAGUUAUUAAGGAUCUUUUCCAGCUUCGAGUACUGUUUUCUUUUACUCUGAAAUUGUUUUAGAUUCUCUCUUAAGCGGAACUAAAGAAGUGUUUUAAUUAGAGAGUGUACAUGUUUGGUUUAGUGUAGUUUGAUUAUUAUAGCUAAUAGCUAGAUGGUUAAGUUUACUUGUGAAUAAUGAGAAAAUAUCUUCAACAAAUUUUUCUCGAUUGAUCUUAAUCUCUUUAGUCUGUAAUAUGGUAUCAGAGCCAUCAAAGCUCGAUUUCUCUUGAUUUUGCUUUGAUUCCAUCUUCUCUGACAUUCAAUCUCGUUUAGAUUUACUUGAUUUUAGCUUUGAUGGUGUUGAUUGCAAAGAUUCCUCGCCGCUCUAGUUUGUUAUAGUUUUCUAAAGUUCAGAUUUUUGUUUUUUAAAGCUCAGAUUUUUAUAGAGUAUAGACAAACGUAAGGUGUUUUUUUAAAAAUUUUGAGAGAACAUAUUUCAUGUUAUGAAUUUGUUUACAUGUAUGAUGAAUAAAUCUAUGGAUUGGAAACACAUGCCUGAUAAAUUUUAUUUUAUUCAUUUAGUAAUAAGAUCCAGUUUUGUGAAUCUAGCAUGUAAGUUAAGAUUGGUUUAUGGGCAACAGGUUCUGUUCAAUUAUUAUGACACACUUUGUGAUUUCUAGUGUGAUUUUCCUGCGAUAUACUUGUGAUUUUCCUGAAACUUUUACAUACAUGUGAUUUUCAUUUGGUUUUCUUGUGACAUACUUUUGAUUUUCCUGAAACUUUUACUUUGUGUUUCUUCAUUCUUCAAAUAAAUGAGAAUGCUCGGGAAAGAUCUUUCCGAACGAGGACAACAAAGGCUUUCCAUUUUACUCAUACCACUAACUCAAUCAAUGCGAUUCAUUUUUUUAGUGAUGACCGCCAUGGGUACACAAAUGCCAGUGGUUUGCCUCAACGACUGGUCGUGUCGUGAGAAGGUAUAUCAAAGACAACAAGGUAGCAACUAUUGAUGAUAUGGCUCAAAUUGCUCUUGCGUCACAGUUUGUGGAUGGGAUAACAAACUCUUUGAAUACAUCCAUGGGUCUCUUCGCUAAUGAGUCUCCCUUGAAAGCCCACAUUUUUAUUCUUUUAGUCAUAUUGAAGUUAAUCCAUGUCAAAAUGAGUCACUAAAAAGGAAUCACAAUUUUACCGUUAUCCGAGAUAGCAAAUGAUGUUGUCAUCGUUGUAGACUUGAAACGCACAUUAUAUUACACGGCGUCUUACGUCAUUCGGAUUUUAAAA